UAGGGAAUCUUCCACAAUGGACGAAAGUCUGAUGGAGCAACGCCGCGUGAGUGAAGAAGGUUUUCGGAUCGUAAAACUCUGUUGUUGGAGAAGAAUGUAUCUGAUAGUAACUGAUCAGGUAGUGACGGUAUCCAACCAGAAAGCCACGGCUAACUACGUG
Molecule: ribosomal RNA, 160 nt
Filed under: uncultured bacterium
Lineage: Bacteria
Description: partial 16S ribosomal RNA
Rfam family: Bacterial small subunit ribosomal RNA
Source: RNAcentral